GCAUGCCGUGCACCAUAAACGAACAACAAUCUUUGUCUAGUGGACGUCUAUGUGUCAACCUAAAUUUACAACAAAUAUAAUAAAGCCAACAUUUCGAAGGAAUCGUAGCUUCGUAAUACCAUGUACAGCAGACGAGAAGCAGUAUCAGAUGUUUUGGAGGAACUUUCCAACGAUGAAAUACGUAGAAGAUUAAUUCUUUACGGCGGUCCAAAUCUUCCCGUGACCGAACAAACACGUGCUAGACUGCUGGAUGUACUGCGAGAAUACAUCGACAAACCUCAGCAGCAUAAUGUAAGCAAAAGCAAUUCCAGCGAUGAGUCAAAUUCAUUAAACAAUGUAUCACGAAAUAAUGACACGCAUUUGCAAAGUUCCACCAACGCCAGCACUUCGAACUCAAACUCAGCGGCAGCUGGAGAUCUGAUCGGUCUACCACUUCAUAUUAUUGUCUAUAGUGGUGCUAUUUUGAUACUCAGUGUAUUCGUGUAUUACUUGCUUUAUCUGUUUUAAACAAUAUCCUCAGCGCUGAAUGUAACUCCUCUGUUGAAAAAAGCAUUUCGCUAGAAGACAACCCCGUCAUAACUGGAUGAAGAAAACUACAUUGGAAUAAAUUUCUAAAUUCAUAUAAGCUGUUUUAA
Long non-coding RNA from Anopheles arabiensis, 635 nucleotides. RefSeq lists it as uncharacterized. The record is from RefSeq and is a predicted model, not a curated record. NCBI's taxonomy places the organism in Eukaryota, Metazoa, Arthropoda, Insecta, Diptera, Culicidae. The transcript is spliced from 2 exons.